CGUUUCUGCGUUGCAGUGACGCAUAUACCAUGACUGUGUGUUUACCACCGAGCUGUGGGCUAGGUUCGCUAACAUAAACACAAAACAACUUAAUUCCACUCAGACAGAUUAUAUUGUUUUAAACACCAUCUUAGCAUUUUUAAGAACUGCUUCAUAACCCCAGUUGGGUUUUCUGAUCAUAGUCUAGUUAUAGGUACAGUAACUUUAAACUUUGUCAAGCUGAAAAGUGCUUACUGGCAUUUUAAUACAAAUUUAUUAAGUGAUGCACAUUUUAUAGAUACAUUUAAAUUCUUUUGGGAAAAUUUUAGGAAUGAAAAAGCAAGUUUUCAGUCUUUGCAAACAUGGUGGGGGUUUGGUAAAACUCAAAUUAAGCAACUAUGUCAACAGUACACUCAUAAUGUCACAAAAGAUAUAAUUAAAUCUAUUAGAGUGUUAGAGGAUGAAAUUCUGAAAUUUCAAGAAGCGGCACAGUCAAGUGGAAAUCAAACACAUAUUGAAGGCCUUUUUUAAAGAAAUUGGUUUUGUCUGACAUGCAAACAGUGAAAGCAGACUUUAGUUUUAUCAGCAUAUGCUGAUGAUGUUGUCAUAAUAGUAAAUAAGCAAAAUGAUGUAGAUACAUUAUUAAAAACAUUAAGGGAUUUUGAAGUCAUCUCUUCAGCUAGAAUUAACUGGGGUAAAAGUGAAGCAAGGAAAGUGGGAAAGAGGGGUUCCAACACUCCCAAAUGGGUUAACUUGGAAAAAAGAUGGUUUAAAAUAUUUGGGAGUGUUUAUAGGAGAUGAAAUGAUUGUUCAAAAAAAUUGGGAGGUCGUUUAAUUGGGAGGUCGUUUAAUGAAAUGGAAAUGGAUUGUAAAGAAUUUAUCAUAUAGAGGACGUACCCUUAUUAUUAAUAAUUUGGUGGCCUCUUCUUUAUGGCACCGACUGGCUUGUAUAGACCCACCUGCAUAUUUACUUGGGAAAAUCCAAUCCAUAUUAAUAGAUUUUUUUUUUUUUUUGGGAAAAAAAAAAAAGGCUGAAGGACUAUGCUUGGAUAAGCCUUUGUUCUUGUUGGAUCCCAAAAAAGUCAACACAUCUAGGAUGCCAGAGUUUUACAGGAAUCUUUUUAAAGUAUGGGAUCUCUUUCAGGUGAAAAGAACUGAUCCUACGUCAUCUUUAUUCUGGCUAUUGAACCCCUGAUCUAUGGAUCAUGUUUGGACAUUUUGGGUGCAUGUGGGACAAUGACUGCAGCAUUCAUUAAAUCCAAGAUUAUAACGAUUAGAUGUUUAAUCAAAGUGGCUGGGCCAAGUUUUGGUAAAGCUGAGGAUGUAGCUGUUCUUUUAGGAGUGAAAUCCAUUCGAAUUGUUACACAAGUAUUACAGAAAUUACAAUCUGCUUUUAUAAUAGAAGAAUUAAAAAUGCUUCAAGGUUACAGUGAAGGGGAAUUUAUCCCUAAUGAAAAGGACCAGUUUCCAAAUCUGCUUCUUUCACAAAAUUUAGGUGAUUGUACAGGAUUUUUUUUGGAAUCUGAAAAGGUGACAGAUAUGGAUUUGUAUGAAAGUAAUGGGGAAAAAAAUGUAUAAAGCUUGUGUAAAAGUUUUUAACAAAAGGGGAUUACCUGAAAGAAUUGACACACCAUGACGUACUGUUUUUAAGAUGAGUAAUAAUGUUAGACCAGAGUGGAGAGCACUGUACAAGCCACCGUUAACUAAAAGAGCUGGAGAUCUACAAUGGCGAAUUCUGCAUGGCAUUAUUGCUGUAAAUGCUUUUGUUUCCGUUUUGAAUCCAGAUAUUAGCAAUGAAUGUCCUUUUUGUUUUCAGAAAGAGACCCUUUUUUUUAUACUUUUUUGUAUUGCUCAAGACUUAAACCUUUAUUUGAUGGUUUGCAAAAUCUUUUUAAUAGUUUUAAUGAGAAGUUUUCUGUGCAGAGUUUUAUUUUGGGUUUUAAAUAUGUUCAAAAAAGAAAGAAUGAUUGUCAAUUGCUUAAUUUUAUUUUGGGAAAAGCCAAAAUGGCGAUUUACAUUAGCAGAAGAGAAAAAAUUGAGCAAAGAAUCAAUCAUAAUGUUGAAAGGGUGUUUGCAGCUAUGAUCAAAUCAAGGCUUUUAAUUGAUUUUUGUUUUUACAAAGCUGGACUCCUUAAAUAUUUUUGAAAGAAUAUGGUGUCAUAGAGGAGCUUUGUGUUCCAUUAUUGAAAAUGAACUUCAUUUUGCACUCUUUUUAUAAAAUGUUUUAAAUUUUGUGGAAUUUUUGAUGUUAUGUGACUUGAUGUGAUUUUUUUCAGUUUUGUUAAAUAAAGAUGCUUGAAAAAUCAAA
Long non-coding RNA from Ctenopharyngodon idella (grass carp), 2287 nucleotides. RefSeq lists it as uncharacterized. Lineage: Eukaryota; Metazoa; Chordata; Actinopteri; Cypriniformes; Xenocyprididae. The record is from RefSeq and is a predicted model, not a curated record. The transcript is spliced from 2 exons.